RNAcentral lists this ribosomal RNA (910 nucleotides) under Talaromyces albobiverticillius. RNAcentral's name for it is "LSU rRNA". It matches the Rfam family "Eukaryotic large subunit ribosomal RNA", at positions 38 to 966 of the family's 3401-position model. The record is from RNAcentral. Lineage: Eukaryota; Fungi; Ascomycota; Eurotiomycetes; Eurotiales; Trichocomaceae.
GCAUAUCAAUAAGCGGAGGAAAAGAAACCAACCGGGAUUGCCUCAGUAACGGCGAGUGAAGCGGCAAGAGCUCAAAUUUGAAAUCUGGCCCCUUUGGGGUCCGAGUUGUAAUUUGGAGAGGAUGCUUCGGGUGCGGCCCCUGUCUAAGUGCCCUGGAACGGGCCGUCAUAGAGGGUGAGAAUCCCGUCUGGGAUGGGCGGCCGUGCCCGUGUGAAGCUCCUUCGACGAGUCGAGUUGUUUGGGAAUGCAGCUCUAAGCGGGUGGUAAAUUUCAUCUAAAGCUAAAUACUGGCCGGAGACCGAUAGCGCACAAGUAGAGUGAUCGAAAGAUGAAAAGCACUUUGAAAAGAGAGUUAAACAGCACGUGAAAUUGUUGAAAGGGAAGCGUUGGCCACCAGACGCGCCCGAGGGGGUUCAGCCGGCACUUGUGCCGGUGCACUCCCCCCCGGGUGGGCCAGCAUCGGUUUGGGCGGUCGCUGAAAGGCUCCAGGAAUGUAGCACCCUCCGGGGUGCCUUAUAGCCUGGGGUGUCAUGCGGCCUGCCUGGACCGAGGCCCGCGCUUCGGCGAGGAUGCUGGCGUAAUGGUGGUCAACGGCCCGUCUUGAAACACGGACCAAGGAGUCUAACAUCUAUGCGAGUGUUCGGGUGUCAAACCCGUCCGCGCAGUGAAAGCGAACGCAGGUGGGAACCCUUCGGGGCGCACCAUCGACCGAUCCUGAUGUCUUCGGAUGGAUUUGAGUAAGAGCAUAGCUGUUGGGACCCGAAAGAUGGUGAACUAUGCCUGAAUAGGGCGAAGCCAGAGGAAACUCUGGUGGAGGCUCGCAGCGGUUCUGACGUGCAAAUCGAUCGUCAAAUUUGGGUAUAGGGGCGAAAGACUAAUCGAACCAUCUGGUAGCUGGUUCCUGCCGAAG